RNA transcript from Agrilus planipennis (emerald ash borer), 2177 nucleotides. It is a transcript of the gene named titin-like, with no coding region annotated. NCBI's taxonomy places the organism in Eukaryota, Metazoa, Arthropoda, Insecta, Coleoptera, Buprestidae. The transcript has 13 exons. The record is from RefSeq and is a predicted model, not a curated record.
GUAACAACUAAAGGAUAACGGCGCCUUGCUGAAAUUUUAGUCGCUCCUGCGUCCGUCCGGUAAACUAGCGGCCGAAAGAGCGAGCGGUAGUAACGUCCGCGACGAUUUUCCUGCUCUACCGCUACUCCCACCUGCGAAGAAAAUUGACGGUCGCGGUGUCCCGCUCGCUUGGUUUUCCGCGUUCGUGACGCUCUUGGUCUAGACCCAUGCACGUAUGUGAUCAUUAUUACACCACUAGCGUCGUGGCUUGAUAAGAAAAAAACAGUUUGCAACGGCGAUGAUUUAUGAUUGCUCGCGUUUGACGGUUGUACGGGGGAAUGCCAUUGAAUAAAGAAAAGUGAAUAGUGAGGUUCCAAUACGUAUCUAUAGUGAACGAAAUCAACAACUAAAAAAGUGUGCGUUCAAUAUGAUGACAUCUCCUUCUGGUUUGGUGUACUUCAAAUGAAAAAUCACUACACAAAUAUGGUCGUUGACAUCACUGCCAGGAAGAAAUGCAAUCUGCAUGUAUUUAUUUUGCUGAAUCUUCUGACUGGCAUUAAAGCGUUGAGCGAAGUGGAUGUGAUAGUGCCCCAAGCAGUCGCUGUUGGAGACACUGUCACCCUCCAAUGCCACUACGAUCUGGAAGGACAGCCCCUUUACACCCUCAAGUGGUACAAGGGAGCGAGAGAAUUCUACCGAUUCAUCCCCAAGGAGCAUCCCAAUACACAGGUUUUCCCGUUUCCUGGAAUUGACGUAGACUUGAACAAGUCGAAUUUGCAUGCCAUCGUGUUACGUAACGUCCAACCUGAAAUAUCUGGAACAUAUAGAUGCGAAGUUUCGACAGAUGCUCCAAACUUUUAUACCAACAUGAUGUCAGCUAGUAUGUACGUAUUAAAUGUACCCCAAAGUAAACCUCAAAUAGAAACUAGAAAUUAUUCAUCGGACUUAGGUCAAGUUGUUAUGGCCAAUUGUACAUCACCAUACUCUUAUCCCCCGAUGAAUCUGACAUGGUUUGUUAAUGGAGUCAAGGUGAAUGAUAGUUACUACAGUAAAAUACCGUCAACGUUCAAUCCAAAUGAAGUUAGCGUUCGUAUUGGCUUGAAGCACUUCAUCGAUCACAAAUCGUACCACAAUAGCGGGGUUUUAAGGCUCAAAUGCGUAGCUUCUCUGUUCAAUUUAUACAGGGAGGAAGUCGAGGCGUCAAUGGAAGAUGAUCAACCUAAACCUAGACCUUCGUCGGUGCUUGGAACUCCUAACUCGGAAAUCCGAUUGGCCUUAUACCUCAAAAUUUUGAAAUUCCAAUAUUGACCGAAAAAAAUAUAUUAGAUAUAUUAGGCAGACAUUAAUGUUUUUAGAAGAGCAGUUGACUGGGAAAUAAUCUAAGUAGGAUUUUUCGACUGUAGACAGGACCUGCUGUAUCCACACAAAGAAACUGAAUUAGACCCUACACCCCUACCGAAAAUGUAGAAAUCCUUGUAUUGACCGAAAAAAAACCAAUGUAUACCUAUUGAAUUUAGCAAGAUUUUUGGAUUUAUUUCAAGUGUCACGAUCUACUUCUUCUGUGAAAAGGUUUUUAACGGGUUCCUACCUUCCGCUUGCACCCGCCGUUUACCUCUUAAGGCGACCGGAUGUAGAAAACAGGAAAAUAGAACGGGUCGAUCGUAUUUCAUGGAGAAUUUAAGUAGCCUCAUCAUAACGAACCUGGGCCGGAAGUGUCAUUCGGUAUUUUCGCGAAAGUGUAGUGUUAUCGUCGAAAAGGACAAAAUAGUAGUGCGCGUACGGAAACAAACCGCGAAUAAAGUGAAAAGUCCGAAAGUUUCGUAAACGUGUGAAAGUGCCGCUAAUUCGAGUACCUACCAGAAGGGGAAGACUUUAUGUUGCUCAGAUUUGGUAUGAGCUUGAAGACUUAAGGUCCACUACAACAGCAGAGUCAACACGUACAACUACGUUCGUGAGGAUUAUCGCGUUAUAAGUGAGUUGGUGGCAAGAACAUCCGAAGAGGCGUGCUGCUAACUUCAUAUUUCACUGUGGCUUGCCGUAUGCCGUUUAUCUAUGGUUGAGUCCAUGUUUAUAAUAACGGUUGAUGUGUAUCCCGCUUUUGUGAAAUUAAAAUUAUAAUUUAUAAGUAAAUUUCAAAGUUAUUUUAAGAGAAAAGUGGUGUAAUUACUUAUAUCAUACAUGCUUAUAGUACAAAUCAA